Molecule: ribosomal RNA, 613 nt
Filed under: uncultured archaeon
Lineage: Archaea
Description: bacterial SSU rRNA
Rfam family: Archaeal small subunit ribosomal RNA
Source: RNAcentral
UCCGGUUGAUCCUGCCGGAGGUUACUGCUAUCGGUGUUCGCCUAAGCCAUGCGAGUCAUAUGUAGCAAUACAUGGCGUACUGCUCAGUAACACGUGGAUAACCUGCCCUUGGGACCGGCAUAACCCCGGGAAACUGGGGAUAAUUCCGGAUAAAGCAUAUGUGCUGGAAUGCUUUAUGCGUAAAAUGGAUUCGUCUGCCCAAGGAUGGGUCUGCGGCCUAUCAGGUAGUAGUGGGUGUAAUGUACCUACUAGCCAGCGACGGGUACGGGUUGUGAGAGCAAGAGCCCGGAGAUGGAUUCUGAGACAUGAAUCCAGGCCCUACGGGGCGCAGCAGGCGCGAAAACUUUACAAUGCGGGAAACCGUGAUAAGGGGACACCGAGUGCCAGCAUCAUAUGCUGGCUGUCCAGGUGUGUAAAAUACACCUGUUAGCAAGGGCCGGGCAAGACCGGUGCCAGCCGCCGCGGUAACACCGGCGGCCCGAGUGGUGAUCGUGAUUAUUGGGUCUAAAGGGUCCGUAGCCGGUUUGGUCAGUCCUCCGGGAAAUCUGAUAGCUUAACUAUUAGGCUUUCGGGGGAUACUGCCAGACUUGGAACCGGGAGAGGUAAGAGGUAC